CGGGGAAUUUUGCACAAUGGAGGAAACUCUGAUGCAGCGACGCCGCGUGAGUGAUGAAGAUCUUCGGAUUGUAAAACUCUGUCCUUAGUGAAGAUAAUGACAGUAACUAAGAAGCAAGCCCUGGCUAAAUACGUGCCAGCAGCCGCGGUAAUACGUAUGGGGCAAGCGUUGUCCGGAAUUAUUGGGCGUAAAGGGUACGUAGGCGGUUUAAUAAGUCCUAAUUAAAAGGCUAUGGCUCAACCAUAGUAUGGUUAGGAAACUGUUGAACUUGAGUAGAUGAGGGGAAAGUGGAAUUCCAUGUGUAGCGGUGAAAUGCGUAGAUAUAUGGAGGAACACCAAUGGCGAAGGCAACUUUCUGGAAUCAAACUGACGCUGAGGUACGAAGGCGUGGGGAGCAAACAGG
RNAcentral lists this ribosomal RNA (403 nucleotides) under Fusobacteriota bacterium. RNAcentral describes it as "Fusobacteria bacterium partial 16S ribosomal RNA". It matches the Rfam family "Bacterial small subunit ribosomal RNA", at positions 355 to 776 of the family's 1533-position model. The record is from RNAcentral. Lineage: Bacteria; Fusobacteriati; Fusobacteriota.